UGGGGAAUAUUGCACAAUGGGCGCAAGCCUGAUGCAGCAACGCCGCGUGAACGAUGAAGGUCUUCGGAUCGUAAAGUUCUGUUGCAGGGGAAGAUAAUGACGGUACCCUGUGAGGAAGCCCCGGCUAACUACGUGCCAGCAGCCGCGGUAAUACGUAGGGGGCUAGCGUUAUCCGGAUUUACUGGGCGUAAAGGGUGCGUAGGUGGUCUUUCAAGUCGGUGGUUAAAGGCUACGGCUCAACCGUAGUUAGCCUCCGAAACUGGAAGACUUGAGUGCAGGAGAGGAAAGUGGAAUUCCCGGUGUAGCGGUGAAAUGCGUAGAUAUUGGGAGGAACACCAGUAGCGAAGGCGGCUUUCUGGACUGCAACUGACACUGAUGCACGAAAGCGUGGGUAGCAAACAGG
Molecule: ribosomal RNA, 403 nt
Filed under: Verrucomicrobiota bacterium
Lineage: Bacteria; Pseudomonadati; Verrucomicrobiota
Description: Verrucomicrobia bacterium partial 16S ribosomal RNA
Rfam family: Bacterial small subunit ribosomal RNA
Source: RNAcentral